This 448-nucleotide ribosomal RNA is filed under the name uncultured bacterium. Its description in RNAcentral is "bacterial SSU rRNA". It matches the Rfam family "Bacterial small subunit ribosomal RNA", at positions 329 to 793 of the family's 1533-position model. The record is from RNAcentral.
CCCCAGACUCCUACGGGAGGCAGCAGUGGGGAAUAUUGCACAAUGGGGGAAACCCUGAUGCAGCGACGCCGCGUGAGUGAAGAAGUAUUUCGGUAUGUAAAGCUCUAUCAGCAGGGAAGAAGUUGACGGUACCUGAGUAAGAAGCCCCGGCUAACUACGUGCCAGCAGCCGCGGUAAUACGUAGGGGGCAAGCGUUAUCCGGAUUUACUGGGUGUAAAGGGAGCGUAGACGGCAGUGCAAGUCUGAAGUGAAAGCCCCGGGCUUAACCCGGGAACUGCUUUGGAAACUGUACGGCUGGAGUGCUGGAGAGGUAAGCGGAAUUCCUAGUGUAGCGGUGAAAUGCGUAGAUAUUAGGAGGAACACCAGUGGCGAAGGCGGCUUACUGGACAGUAACUGACGUUGAGGCUCGAAAGCGUGGGGAGCAAACAGGAUUAGAUACCCCGGUAUG